GCCAGUAUGGGUUAAUUGGUAAACUAUCCCUCUUCCAAAGGGAGUAUAUGCGUUCAAGUCGCAUUAUUGGCA
This is a non-coding RNA of Mycoemilia scoparia, 72 nucleotides long. Lineage: Eukaryota; Fungi; Kickxellomycota; Kickxellomycetes; Kickxellales; Kickxellaceae. The record is from the annotation of a GenBank genome assembly.